GAUGAACGCUAGCGGCAGGCCUAACACAUGCAAGUCGAGGGGCAGCAUAGAAGUACUUCGGUACUUUUGAUGGCGACCGGCGCACGGGUGCGUAACGCGUAUGCAACCUACCAUUAACAGGGGGAUAAUUCGGAGAAAUCUGGUCUAAUACCCCAUAAUAUUACCUAAGGCAUCUUGGGUAGUUGAAAGUUCCGGCGGUUAAUGAUGGGCAUGCGUUGUAUUAGUUAGUUGGUGAGGUAACGGCUCACCAAGGCUACGAUACAUAGGGGGACUGAGAGGUUAACCCCCCACACUGGUACUGAGACACGGACCAGACUCCUACGGGAGGCAGCAGUGAGGAAUAUUGGUCAAUGGACGCAAGUCUGAACCAGCCAUGCCGCGUGCAGGAAGACGGCUCUACGAGUUGUAAACUGCUUUUGUACGAGGGUAAUUGCAGAUACGUGUAUCUGUUUGAAAGUAUCGUACGAAUAAGGAUCGGCUAACUCCGUGCCAGCAGCCGCAGUAACAC
This 508-nucleotide ribosomal RNA is filed under the name uncultured bacterium. RNAcentral's name for it is "bacterial SSU rRNA". It matches the Rfam family "Bacterial small subunit ribosomal RNA", at positions 28 to 526 of the family's 1533-position model. The record is from RNAcentral.